AGUGAACGCUGGCGGUAGGCCUAACACAUGCAAGUCGAACGGCAGCACAGUAAGAGCUUGCUCUUCCGGGUGGCGAGUGGCGGACGGGUGAGGAAUACAUCGGAAUCUACUUUUUCGUGGGGGAUAACGUAGGGAAACUUACGCUAAUACCGCAUACGACCUACGGGUGAAAGCAGGGGAUCUUCGGACCUUGCUCGAUUGAAUGAGCCGAUGUAGGAUUAGCUAGUUGGCGGGGUAAAGGCCCACCAAGGCGACGAUCCGUAGCUGGUCUGAGAGGAUGAUCAGCCACACUGGAACGGAGACACGGCCCAGACUCCUACGGGAGGAAGCAGUGGGGAAUAUUGGACAAUGGGCGAAAGCCUGAUCCAGCAAUACCGCGUGGUUGAAGAAGGCCUUCGGGUUGUAAAGCCCUUUUGUUGGGAAAGAAAAGCAGCAGGUUAAUACCCCGCUGUUCUGACGGUACCCAAAGAAUAAGCACCGGCUAACUUCGUG
Molecule: ribosomal RNA, 492 nt
Filed under: uncultured bacterium
Lineage: Bacteria
Description: partial 16S ribosomal RNA
Rfam family: Bacterial small subunit ribosomal RNA
Source: RNAcentral